Molecule: ribosomal RNA, 256 nt
Filed under: uncultured Dialister sp.
Lineage: Bacteria; Bacillati; Bacillota; Negativicutes; Veillonellales; Veillonellaceae
Description: partial 16S ribosomal RNA
Rfam family: Bacterial small subunit ribosomal RNA
Source: RNAcentral
CGUAAACAACCUGCCUUCAAGAUGGGACAACAGACGGAAACGACUGCUAAUACCGAAUACGAUCCGAAAGUCGCAUGACAUUUGGAUGAAAGGGUGGCCUUAUCGAAGAAGCUAUCGCUUGAAGAGGGGUUUGCGUCCGAUUAGGUAGUUGGUGAGGUAACGGCCCACCAAGCCGACGAUCGGUAGCCGGUCUGAGAGGAUGAACGGCCACACUGGAACUGAGACACGGUCCAGACUCCUACGGGAGGCAGCAGCC